Molecule: ribosomal RNA, 484 nt
Filed under: uncultured bacterium
Lineage: Bacteria
Description: partial 16S ribosomal RNA
Rfam family: Bacterial small subunit ribosomal RNA
Source: RNAcentral
AUUGAACGCUGGCGGCAUGCUUUACACAUGCAAGUCGAACGGCAGCGCGGGCUUCGGCCUGGCGGCGAGUUGCGAACGGGUGAGUAAUGCAUCGGAACGUGCCCAGUAGUGGGGGAUAGCCCGGCGAAAGCCGGAUUAAUACCGCAUACGACCUGAGGGUGAAAGCGGGGGACCGAAAGGCCUCGCGCUAUUGGAGCGGCCGAUGUCGGGUUAGCUAGUUGGUGGGGUAAAGGCUUACCAAGGCGACGAUCCGUAGCUGGUCUGAGAGGACGACCAGCCACACUGGGACUGAGACACGGCCCAGAACCCUACGGGAGGCAGCAGUGGGGAAUUUUGGACAAUGGGGGCAAACCUGAUCCAGCCAUGCCGCGGGCGGGAAGAAGGCCUUCGGGUUGUAAAACGCUUUUGUUCGGGAAGAAAUCCUCUGGGCUAAUACCCCGGGGGGAUGACGGUACCGGAAGAAUAAGCACCGGCUAACUACGUG